GUCUAUCCCAAAUUCAUGUAUUUGGUUUAGAUUUUAUAUUUGUUAUUCUCGUGGGAUUUUGUCAGAUGCUUGGUCCGUUUCUGUGUGUGUUAGUUACAUUGUAGUGUUGUGUCGUUGUUCUCCUCUUAUAUUUAUGCGUUUCCCUCAGAUUUAGUUUGUUACCCCGAUUAUGUUUUUUGUCCAUGGAUUUAUGAGUUUGAACAGCGGUAUACUACUAUUGCCUUUAUUUAUACAAACUUGAACUGCUAUUAGAUGAUUAAAUCAUUAGAUUCCUGACAUAAUGCAUAUACAAAAAAGAAGAUGUGGUAUAUAAAGGCUACAAGACAUUUCUUGACAAGAG
RNAcentral lists this long non-coding RNA (340 nucleotides) under Mytilus galloprovincialis (Mediterranean mussel). The record is from RNAcentral. Lineage: Eukaryota; Metazoa; Mollusca; Bivalvia; Mytilida; Mytilidae.